GAUGAAGAACGUAGCGAAAUGCGAUAAGUAAUGUGAAUUGCAGAAUUCAGUGAAUCAUCGAAUCUUUGAACGCACAUUGCGCCCGCUGGUAUUCCGGCGGGCAUGCCUGUUCGAGCGUCAUUUCAACCCUCAAGCUCUCCGGAGUUUUGUGUUGGGGCGCCUGGGGCUUUUCGACCUCAGGGCCCUCAAGUCCAUCGGCGGGACCGCCAGGACACUGAGCGCAGUAGUAUUAUUUCGCUCGGUAGGAUCUUCCACGGCGGGUCGAUCUGGCCGCUAAACCCCCCAAUUCUCACCAAAGGUUGACCUCGGAUCAGGUAGGAAUACCCGCUGAACUUAAGCAUAUCAAUAAGCGGAGGA
This 357-nucleotide unclassified non-coding RNA is filed under the name soil metagenome. RNAcentral's name for it is "partial contains 5.8S ribosomal RNA, internal transcribed spacer 2, and large subunit ribosomal RNA". The stretch from base 1 to 120 matches the Rfam family "5.8S ribosomal RNA", at positions 35 to 154 of the family's 154-position model. The record is from RNAcentral.